This 975-nucleotide long non-coding RNA is filed under the name Mustela putorius furo (domestic ferret). RNAcentral's name for it is "lncRNA (ENSMPUG00000031955.1)". The record is from RNAcentral. Lineage: Eukaryota; Metazoa; Chordata; Mammalia; Carnivora; Mustelidae.
CAGAGAGUCUGAAAGUCUUACACAUUUAAUCUCCACUUUCCUGUUGAAACAACUGUUUUUAUAAUGACAUUUUUGAUAAUAGCUUGAGUUGACACAUGGCAGCAAUCAGAAUUGAAUCUCCAGCUGGACAGGGUCUUUAGCCCUCCCUGCUGUCUCAACACCACCAGCAUCCCUUGACUCAUUUUACAUAUCUUGACCUGUGGACACUGGUGUUCACUACCUGCUAGAGCCAAAUGUGUGUUAUCAUAUCCAGUGACGAAGAUCACACUGGUGAAUCAUAUAGUUUGGCUUAAGUGGCGAAAUUCCAGAAAUAUCCCAUCUCCGGUUGAAAAACCACCAACUCCCUACUUCAAAAGAACCCAAGUCCUAACCUUCCUGGUUGCUGAAAGAAAUUAAGGUGUUUGCAAAACAAAUGAGGUCAAGACAAUUUCUGGGAUGAAUGAAAAGACUGGGGUAAUUUAAGUUCCAUGUUCAAGGUGAUGAACAGGUAGGGAAAUUUGACAUCUGGUCAGGACAUUGAUAACCAGGUAGAUGGCAAGAGUGGGAGGAAUAGAGAUGAACCAGAAAAUCCAUGGAGAUUAGCCUGGUACUUAGAAACUCAAGAAAGGAGGUGGACCCAAUGUGAUCAGAAAGAAGACUGGACUACAAGAAUGUGGAAAUUCUUACUCCCACCUCUUCUUGGCAAGAAAGAAGUCUGAAGUUGAAGCAAUGCAAUGGCUCAACCAAGAAUAUUUGAUAUCCUUCCUGCUAUGUCAUGGACAGACCCUCAAGCCUGAUGGCAUUACAGGCAUGACAAACAAAUGUAUCUGAAUGAAUCAGGGAAAUAAAUGGAUACAGCAGUAUUCCUAGAAAUAUGAAUAGGUGGGAACAGCAAGAGAUUGAUGGCAAGGAUAGAGAUAUAAACUGAUGAAAGUAUAAACCAAGAAGUGAGAAGUGAGAAUGCAAUGGAAAGGAAAAGGAAAUCUAAAUGAGAAC